CGGAUCACAUUAUGUGACAUAUCAUUCAAGUUUCUGACCUAUCAUCUUUAGACGGUAGGGUAUUGGCCUACCGUGGCUAUGACGGGUAACGGGGAAUUAGAGUUCCCUUCCGGAGAGGGAGCCCGAGAAACGGCCGCCACAUCUAAUGAAGGCACCAGGCGCGCAAAUAACCCAAUCCAAAUACGGGGAGGUAGUGACAAGAAAUAACAUUACAGAUCCUUACGGUUUUGUAAUUGGAAUGACUUAAGUAUAAACCCCUUAACAAGUAUCAAUUGGAGGGCAAGUCUGGUGCCAGCAUCCGCGGUAAUUCCAGCUCCAAUGGUGUAUAUUAAAGUUGUUGCAGUUAAAAAGCUCGUAUUUAAUUUUCUGUUAAUUUUUAUAUACAAUGCUACGGUCUUUAUAUAAUAUUAACAUAAUUCACAUUACUUUUUAGUAUAUGAAACUUUACUUUGAGAAAAUUAGAGUGCUUAAAGCAGGAUAUUGCCUUGGAUACUCCAGCAUGGAAUAAUAUUAAGGAUUUUUAUUUUUGUUAUUGGUUCUAGAAUAAACAUAAUGAUUUAUAGGGACCGUUGGGGGCAUUUGUUUUUCGGACUGGAGGGGGAAUUUUUUAGAUUUGUUAAAGACAAACGAUAGGGAAAGCCUUCACCAUGGAUGUUAUCAAUGUCAGGAACGAACCUUAGGGGAUACAAGACGAU
RNAcentral lists this ribosomal RNA (695 nucleotides) under Cryptosporidium ryanae. Its description in RNAcentral is "SSU rRNA". It matches the Rfam family "Eukaryotic small subunit ribosomal RNA", at positions 265 to 1008 of the family's 1831-position model. Lineage: Eukaryota; Apicomplexa; Conoidasida; Eucoccidiorida; Cryptosporidiidae. The record is from RNAcentral.